Molecule: ribosomal RNA, 1310 nt
Filed under: uncultured bacterium
Lineage: Bacteria
Description: bacterial SSU rRNA
Rfam family: Bacterial small subunit ribosomal RNA
Source: RNAcentral
AACGUACGCUGGCGGCACGCCUAACACAUGCAAGUCGAACGAAGUAGCAAUACUUAGUGGCAGACGGGUGAGUAACAUGUAGGUAUCUGCCCUUUGGCCUGGAAUAACACGAGGAAACUUGUGCUAAUACCGGAUAAGUCUUUACGGAGAAAGCUUUAUGCACCAUUGGAUGAGCCUGCACUUGAUUAGUUUGUUGGUGGGGUAAUGGCCUACCAAGACUGUGAUCAAUAGCUGAUUUGAGAGGAUGAUUCAGCCACAUUGGGACUGAGACACGGCCCAAACUCCUACGGGAGGCAGCAGUGGGGAAUCUUGCACAAUGGAGGAAACUCUGAUGCAGCGAUGCCGCGUGAGUGAAGAAAGCCCUUGGGUUGUAAAGCUCUUUCGUCGGGGAAGAAAAUGACUGUACCCGAAUAAGAAGGUCCGGCUAACUUCGUGCCAGCAGCCGCGGUAAUACGAAGGGACCUAGCGUAGUUCGGAAUUUACUGGGCUUAAAGAGUUCGUAGGUGGUUGAAAAAGUUAGUGUGAAAUCCCCAGAGCUUAACUCUGGAACUGCCAUUAAAACUUUUCAGCUAGAGUAUGAUAGAGGAAAGCAGAAUUUCUAGUGUAGAGGUGAAAUUCGUAGAUAUUAGAAAGAAUACCAAUUGCGAAGGCAGCUUUCUGGAUCAUUACUGACACUGAGGAACGAAAGCAUGGGUAGCGAAGAGGAUUAGAUACCCUCGUAGUCCAUGCCGUAAACGAUGUGUGUUAGACGUUGGAAAUUUAUUUUCAGUGUCGCAGGGAAACCGAUAAACACACCGCCUGGGGAGUACGACCGCAAGGUUAAAACUCAAAUGAAUUGACGGGGACCCGCACAAGUAGUGGAGCAUGUGGUUUAAUUCGAAGAUACGCGCAGAACCUUACCAACACUUGACAUGUUCGUCGCGACUCUAAGAGAUUAGAGUUUUCGGUUCGGCCGGACGAAACACAGGUGCUGCAUGGCUGUCGUCAGCUCGUGUCGUGAGAUGUUGGGUUAAGUCCCGCAACGAGCGCAACCCUCACUUUUAGUUGCCAUCAUUAAGUUGGGCACUCUGAAAGAACUGCCAGUGAUAAGCUGGAGGAAGGUGGGGAUGACGUCAAGUCCUCAUGGCCCUUACGUGUUGGGCUACACACGUGCUACAAUGGUAUCUACAACAGGAAGCGAGACUGCGAAGUUAAGCAAAUCCCUAAAAGAUACCUCAGUUUCGGAUUGCACUCUGCAACUCGAGUGCAUGAAGCUGGAAUUACUAGUAAUCGUGGAUCAGCGUGCCACGGUGAAAUGCGUUCCCGGGUCU